UGGCGGACGGGUGAGUAAUGUCUGGGAAACUGCCCGAUGGAGGGGGAUAACUACUGGAAACGGUAGCUAAUACCGCAUAACGUCGCAAGACCAAAGAGGGGGACCUUCGGGCCUCUUGCCAUCGGAUGUGCCCAGAUGGGAUUAGCUAGUAGGUGGGGUAAAGGCUCACCUAGGCGACGAUCCCUAGCUGGUCUGAGAGGAUGGCCAGCCACACUGGAACUGAGACACGGUCCAG
RNAcentral lists this ribosomal RNA (235 nucleotides) under uncultured bacterium. Its description in RNAcentral is "partial 16S ribosomal RNA". It matches the Rfam family "Bacterial small subunit ribosomal RNA", at positions 96 to 334 of the family's 1533-position model. The record is from RNAcentral.